Molecule: long non-coding RNA, 2001 nt
Filed under: Canis lupus familiaris (dog)
Lineage: Eukaryota; Metazoa; Chordata; Mammalia; Carnivora; Canidae
Description: lncRNA (ENSCAFG00000053867.1, ENSCAFG00845013898.1)
Source: RNAcentral
UUUAUUCAUGAGAGACAGAGAGAGAGGCAGGGACACAGGCAGAGGGAGAAGCAGGUUCCCUGCAGGGAACCUGACGCAGUACCAGAUCCCAGGACCCUGGGAUCACGACCCAAGCCAAAGGCAGAUGCUCAACCAUUGAGCCACCCAGGCAUCCCAAUUCAGUAUAAUUCUUAAAGGCCCUAGAACUUUUGAAAUGGUAAGUGAGCAUUGGCUUCAAUUUAAAGCUAUCAGCUACAUCAGCCCCCAACAAAAGCCAGUUCUUUGAAGCUUUGAAGCCAGGCAUUGACUUCUCCUCUUUGACUAGUAAAUCCUAGAUAACAUCUUCUUCCAAUAUAAGGUUGUUUCAUCUACAUCAAUAAUCUGUUGUUUAUUCUAGCCACCUUCAUUCACUCUCUUAGCUGGAUCUUCUAGGUAACUAGCUACAGUUUCUAUAUCAGCACUUGCUGCUUCACCUUGAACUUUUUAUUAUACAAACAGCUUAUUUAUUUCUUUAAGAUUUUUAUUUAUUUGAGACAGAGAGAGUGAAAGACAGCACAAGCAAGGUGAAGGGCAGUGGGAGAAGCAGACUCCUGACUGAGCAGGGAGCCUGAUGUGGGGCUCCAUCCAAGGACCCUGGGAUCAUGACCCAAGUUGAAGGCAGAUGCUUAACUGAGCGCUACCCAGGGUCCCUAAAAACUGCUUCUUUCUUUAAACUUCACGAAUCAACCUCUACUACCUUCAAAUUUUUCUUCUGUGGCUUCUUCACCUCUCUCAGGCUUCACAGAAUUGACAAGAGUCAGGGCCACACUCUGGAUUAGGCUUUGGUUUAAGGGAAUGUUGUGGUCGGUUUGAUCUUCUGUCCAGACCACUCACACUUUCUCCAUACCAGCAAUAAGGCUAUUUUGCUUUCUUGUCAGUUGUGUGUUCACUGGAGUAACAUUUUAAUUCCCUUCAAGAACUUUUUCUUUGCAAAAAAAAAACAAAAAAAACAAAAAACUUUUUCUUUGCAUUCACAACUUGACUGGUGAAAGAGGCCUAACUUUUGGCCUAUUGACUUUCCACACACAGUCCUUACUAAGCUUAAUCAUUCCUAGCUUUUGAUUUAAAGUGAGAGAUACGUGACUCUUCUUUCUCUUGAAUGCUUCAAAGCCAUUAUAGGGUUGUUAAUAGACCUAAUUUCAUUAUUGUUGUGUCUCAGGGAAUAAGGAGGCCUGAGGGGAGGGAGAGAAACUGGGGAAUGGCUGGUAGGUAGAACAGUCAGGACACACCAACAUUUUUGGUUAAGUUUGCCAUCCUAUGUAUAUGGGCAUGGUUCAUGGUGCCUGGAGCAAUUAUAAUAGUGACAUCAAAGAUAAUUGAUCACAAAUCAUCCAUAGCAAAUUUAAUAAUAAUGAAAAAGUUUGAAAUAUUGUGAAUAUUAACAAAAUGUGACACAGAGACACAAAGUGAGCAAGUGUUGUUGGAAAAAUGGCACCAAUAGACUUGCUCAGGGUUGCCACAAACCUUCAACUGAUGAAAAACAAUAUUUGCAAAGCUCAGUAAAGUGAAGCUCAAUAAAAGGAGGUAUGCCUGUAUAUGGGAAAAUUCUACUUUCCACUCAAUUUUUCUGAAAACCUAAAACUGCCCGCCAAAUUACAGUGUAUUAACUAAAGAUAAAAAGCAAAUGGGGGGAUCCCUGGGUGGCGCAGCGGUUUGGCGCCUGCCUUUGGCCCAGGGCGCGAUCCUGGAGACCCGGGAUCAAAUCCCACGUCGGGCUCCCGGUGCAUGGAGCCUGCUUCUCCCUCUGCCUGUGUCUCUGCCUCUCUCUCUCUCUCUGUGACUAUCAUAAAUAAAUAAAAAUUAAAAAAAAAAAAAAAAAGCAAAUGGGUGGAAGAGGAGGUUGCCGCAUGGUAGGUACAUUCUUGGGGAAAUCUUGAAUCAUCCAACACAAAUCAGGCUAAAACAUGCUUUUGGUUCUUCAUUUACUUUGCAUAAAGGUGCAUUGUUUAUUUUGCAAGGGCAUAAAAGAACAAAAUGAGAGCA